AUUCGGACGUCCUNCAGUCGAGCGNACAGAAGGGAGCUUGCUCCCGNAUGUUAGCGGCGGACGGGUGAGNAACACGUGGGUAACCUGCCUGUAAGACUGGGAUAACUCCGGGAAACCGGAGCUAAUACCGGAUAGUUCCUUGAACCGCAUGGUUCAAGGAUGAAAGACGGUUUCGGCUGUCACUUACAGAUGGACCCGCGGCGCAUUAGCUAGUUGGUGAGGUAACGGCUCACCAAGGCGACGAUGCGUAGCCGACCUGAGAGGGUGAUCGGCCACACUGGGACUGAGACACGGCCCAGACUCCUACGGGAGGCAGCAGUAGGGAAUCUUCCGCAAUGGACGAAAGUCUGACGGAGCAACGCCGCGUGAGUGAUGAAGGUUUUCGGAUCGUAAAGCUCUGUUGUUAGGGAAGAACAAGUGCAAGAGUAACUGCUUGCACCUUGACGGUACCUAACCAGAAAGCCACGGCUAACUACGUGCCAGCAGCCGCGGUAAUACGUAGGUGGCAAGCGUUGUCCGGAAUUAUUGGGCGUAAAGGGCUCGCAGGCGGUUUCUUAAGUCUGAUGUGAAAGCCCCCGGCUCAACCGGGGAGGGUCAUUGGAAACUGGGAAACUUGAGUGCAGAAGAGGAGAGUGGAAUUCCACGUGUAGCGGUGAAAUGCGUAGAGAUGUGGAGGAACACCAGUGGCGAAGGCGACUCUCUGGUCUGUAACUGACGCUGAGGAGCGAAAGCGUGGGGAGCGAACAGGAUUAGAUACCCUGGUAGUCCACGCCGUAAACGAUG
RNAcentral lists this ribosomal RNA (783 nucleotides) under uncultured bacterium. RNAcentral describes it as "bacterial SSU rRNA". It matches the Rfam family "Bacterial small subunit ribosomal RNA", at positions 47 to 811 of the family's 1533-position model. The record is from RNAcentral.